UACGGAGGGUGCAAGCGUUAAUCGGAAUUACUGGGCGUAAAGGGUGCGUAGGUGGUUUAUUAAGUUAUCUGUGAAAUCCCCGGGCUUAACCUGGGUUGGUCAGAUAAGACUGGUAGACUGGAGUAUGGGAGAGGGUAGUGGAAUUUCCGGUGUAGCGGUGAAAUGCGUAGAGAUCGGAAGGAACACCAGUGGCGAAGGCGGCUACCUGGCCCAAUACUGACACUGAGGCACCAAAGCGUGGGGAGCAAACAGG
RNAcentral lists this ribosomal RNA (253 nucleotides) under uncultured bacterium. RNAcentral describes it as "partial 16S ribosomal RNA". It matches the Rfam family "Bacterial small subunit ribosomal RNA", at positions 524 to 776 of the family's 1533-position model. The record is from RNAcentral.